RNAcentral lists this transfer-messenger RNA (360 nucleotides) under chicken gut metagenome. It matches the Rfam family "transfer-messenger RNA". Rfam says of the family: Bacterial tmRNA, also known as 10Sa RNA or SsrA, is named for its dual tRNA and mRNA-like properties. The record is from RNAcentral.
GGGGUAGUUCAUGGUUUCGACAUAUGUAACUAGAUAUGAUUGCAAGUGGUCGGCAUACCUUAAGUGCAAACCUAAAAUUAAAUGACGAAACUAAUAACUAUAGUUUCGCUCCUGCUUUUGCCUAAUAGUAGGUUAAGGGAGCACUUCUACUUAAUUUCUCUUAUAGGUUAAGAUAGGGGUUCAUAAAUAUAAGAUAUAAUAUAUUAUUUGUUUAGGAUAAUAUAUCGAAAUUUACUAAACUUACUAAUUAUGAGGUUGGUGUAGAGCCAUUUAAUUAGGACAUAUCAAAUCUACCUAAACUUGUAGAUAUUGUAUAAUAGAACAUAUUGGACAGGAGUUCGACUCUCCUCUACUCCACCA